UGGAAAGAGUGAUGCAAAACUCUAAUACUGUGGAAGGUUCUGGAAAGGAUUGCUGGGAUGAUUUGGAGAGAUGUAACUAGGCUUAUAGAAUUGCUGCUGUGGGGAUACUCCCGAAAGUAGGUAGUGGAACUCAUGUCCUUCACUUGGAUUUUAUGGAAAGCUAGUCAUACAAAACAAGGUCUGUGUUUUUUGUUUGUUUGUUUUGUUUUCAGUGGAACCAUAAGUUUAUUGAAAAUAACAACAUUGACUAAUGUAACCUGGUCAUGACUUUAUUCAAAAACACAUUUUGAUUAGAAAAACAAACCCACCAAUCCUAUGCAUAGUCAAUUUUAUCAUCAUAAAACACUUCUCAGCUGUAAUUUAGCUACCUACACCUGCUUCGAGGGGGGACAGCUGGUUCACUGAGUGAUGAUAUGGCACACCUGAGAGUUUGGGAGGAUUUUGUUGUUAGAGACAAGGGAAGCAGAAAGGGUAUAUCUAAAGAAGUAGAGAAUGAGAUUUUGUAUGUGUAUUUUAUAUAUUUUUUUAGUAGGCUCUGUUUAAAGUGAGGUGCAGAGAAAGUGGGAAAGUAAAGGCAGCUGAUCUCUGAUGCGGCUCCUGAGAUGUUUUGUUCUGAUGAGGCCUCACUGAGAUCCCAAGAUGGUAGCAUUUUGCUUACGCUUGUGCUCUGUUACCAGGCUGCUGAUGUGAGGGGCUCCUGCUACAGUCCUCUUUUUGUUCGACUGGAGUUGGGAGUGGUGAUGGAGGCAAUCUUAGACAAUGCCAUAACGCAGGCAAAGAGAGAAGCAAAUCCUUAAAAGAAAGUGUUUCAAAUGCGAAGUUUAGGGCAAGGCAGACUAGAUCAUCACUUGAAACCAGUACAACUCCAUUGACAUCAAAGAGACAACACUAAUUUACGUAAGCUGUGCAUCUGAC
Anser brachyrhynchus (Pink-footed goose) is the source of this 915-nucleotide long non-coding RNA. NCBI's taxonomy places the organism in Eukaryota, Metazoa, Chordata, Aves, Anseriformes, Anatidae. The record is from Ensembl.